UGGGAGGUAGUUUAAUGAUAAAAUGCCAGUCUCCAAAACUGGAAGAUAAAGGUUUGAGUCCUUUCCUCUCAG
This 72-nucleotide transfer RNA is filed under the name Crassvirales sp. RNAcentral's name for it is "tRNA-Trp". It matches the Rfam family "tRNA". From Rfam's summary of the family: Transfer RNA (tRNA) molecules are approximately 80 nucleotides in length. Lineage: Duplodnaviria; Heunggongvirae; Uroviricota; Caudoviricetes; Crassvirales. The record is from RNAcentral.